This 3496-nucleotide unclassified non-coding RNA is filed under the name Hevea brasiliensis (rubber tree). The record is from RNAcentral. Lineage: Eukaryota; Viridiplantae; Streptophyta; Magnoliopsida; Malpighiales; Euphorbiaceae.
CGGAUCUUAAUUUACUUGUAGGGAUUUCAUGGGCACCUGAACUGCAAACAACAGCAGUUGUCCGCUAUCUCUAUCCCCAAAAAAAUUGAAAAAGAAUUUGAUGGCAAUUGAACUUUAAUCCUGAUCAGUAGUAACUUGGCCAAAUAUAUCAGGACAUGACUCCCAAUUUCCCUGUUGCCUGGCUUCCCAAUAUCCGCCAACAUAACGAUAUGAAUCACUUCCUUUAUCCUUUACAAACCACCGCGGCUUCCAUCCACUCUCUUGCAUUUUCCGGGCCUAAUACAAAUCCAAACAAUAUAUCAUCAGAACAAGUGACAGGAAAUGGUUUGUCAAUCACAAUUUUAAGGAAAUCAGACCUCAAGUUUAAUAUUACAAUCUAGUAGUUCAUUGUGUGAUACAUAAAAUCAGACCUCUUACACCAUUUUACAUCGCUGUCCAUCUUUCUUCUCAAUUUGACCAGUUAUUAAGACAUCUAUCUUAGCAUUGAUGCACGGAAUUCAAUUAAAAAUAAUGUGCCAAAUUAUCCAACCUUAAGGAAGACAGUCUACUCAUCUUAGUGCUCACAAACAUGCGCGCACACACCACCAGAGGAGGGGCCAACUUACCUGGCGUUGGCGCUGCUCGAGUCGCAAUUUCUCUAAAUUUGCCAUCUCAAAUUCACCAUUUUCCAAGUGCCUUUGAUCUGGCCUAAGCCUUGAAUCUGUAGGUGGCAACUUUUCCUUAAGUCCUGGAGUAAGUUCAUUCAAUGUUAUGGCAAAGCGUGUCAAGUUAUAUCUGGUGGGAAAUUUGGGAGGCCUGCUUCGCUUCCAGAGUAGAUGGGCAUCUUUUAGAGAUUCAAAUCCUUUUCCCUUAACAGGGCAGUCAUCAUUCACGUAAUGCAUGCUCUCAUCCCACUUUCCAAAAAGAGUUGCCACUCUUUUACCAUUCCUGCCUUGAACUGCCCCAUGUACCUGGUGAGGAUUUCGGUCUAUGAUGGACUGUUCCUUAAAUUUCAGUUUGCAUGAAUAUUCACGAUUUCCCUCUAUUCGCAUUGUGCCAUAGUGAUCACAGUACAAUUUUCCCAAUAUAAGAUUGUAAAUUGAUGUCGUAACCUUGCUCCAUUGAAAAACUUCUCCAUCAUCAAAUUCCAAUGUCAAAACACCAACAGGAUCAAGCUGAAUUGAACGACCCCAAAAUUUGCUCUUUAGAUUACUAUCUCCACAAAAUUUCCAUCCUUUACCCUCACAAUGACAUGCAACAAUCAUGGGGUGAUGACUGACCUUCUCAGAGAAAAAUCGGAGGCCUUUGUCUGGAUAGUCAGCCUCAUAUGUUUCCCCUAAUAAUGGAUUAAAUGGUUUGCAAAUUCUUCCCUCAGUUGAAGCAUAUCCAGAUACAGCAAAAGCAGCAACAUUAAGAAUCCUCAUAAGGCUAUUACCCCUUCUUCCCCAUUCAUAUGCCCGAUCAAGGAGGUAUGAGUAUUCCAAAUCUUCAAAACAUUUUUGCAGAGAAGAGAGAGGUUCAUUAAAGUAAACCGGAAGACAAACUUUGGUGAGGUCCUUCCCAAUAUUAUCCUUGAUCAUGGACCAAAGGCUAACACCUUUUUCUUUCUCAACUGGGUCAGGUAACUUCUUACGCCGCUUAACAUAAGGAUAAUCUUUCCCAACAGAUCUAAUGGAAGGAUCGGUAUCAUCUUCUGAUUCAAGUGCAUAAAGCCCUCCGUCAUCAGAAGAGAAAGAUGAUGUCCUAAAAUCAGAUCCACUACUUUUGAAGGAACCUGAUGACAGAAAGUCACGAGUAUCAAAGAAGGUAUUCUCAUCAUCAUCGGUUUCUUCCUCUGCAGCAUCAACUCUUUCAUUCUCAUAAUCAGAUUCAGUUGCACUUGCUUCACUGGACUUGUCUCGUCUUAAGAUAGAAGAAGCCACUUGAUCAUUGAACUGUCUUUGACUCUCAUCAACUACUGUAUUUUCCAGGUCAACCUUUUCUGUCUCUAACUGGCGCAGCGUGUCGAUGAGGAGCCAUUGCUUCUGCUUGAGCAGCACAAUCUGGUUCUGCAGCGAUGCAAAUUCACUCCUCAUAAUCUGCUCGCUUUCCUGGAUUGCCUCCUCCCUUACGCUCUCCUCCUGAAGCCGCUGCCUCAGCUUCUCCGUUGAGACGGCCACGUUAUCUAUCGGAGCCAUUAGUUCGCUAUUGGACAUGCGAGGGAACAUGUCCUUCACCGCCUGCAAUGCCUCCAUCCACGCCAAACGAUCCUCCCGCGUCUCCGCUCUCAAAUGGAGCCUCUUCGUGCCAGUGAAUAUCGAGAAUCUCUUAUCAUCUGAUCUGCUCUCGCGGAUCGAUGACACCUUGAGAUGGAUUUCGCCGACUGGAAUGCGUCUGAACUGACCGUUUCCGUUGUUAGGCCUCGAAAUCCUUCUCAUAGAUUCUUCCCCAAUGACUUUGGAUCCUUUCUCCGUCUCUCGAUUAACGACGAUCUUAUCGGGCCCAUGAAUCUUAUAAUACGAUAACACACCAUCCUGCAAAACAAACCAUCUAGGCCUCCACCCUUUCCCGUAAUUCACCCACUUAUACAGAAUGCCCGAUAUUCCAUUCCCAACUAUAUCAUUUAUCCUGACAUCAACCUGCUGCUCUCGCGGCAACGACACCGUCUUAACCGCCAAAGCAGCCGCCAAGCUUCGCUGGCUGGGCCGAUUACUAUUGCUGAUGAGAUUGCUGUCAUUACAAUCACUUACGUUGUGGUCGUGGCUGAGAUGGUUCAGGAAAUGAGAGUGAUGAUUAUGGACGGCAAAGAUGGAUCGGGUAAUCGGGUCGGAUCUAGAUGUGAUUGCCAUGGUUAAGGACUUGGUCGAUGAAUGGUCGGAGACGGUGGAAACACAACAAAGGUGAUGCAUAGGACAGAGAGAUUCAGAAUGAACAGGGAAACGUAUCGGAACGGAGCAUAGUGAGAACUUUCAUUUUUAGAGAGAGAAAACGGUUACAGAGAAAUGGCGUGAAAUAGAAGGAACGGUUGAUUGAUUCCGUUAAAAAGAUUUCUAGCUGGAGAGAAACAGAGUGAAUUUAAUAGCGAUGAGUUCGGUGGGGAAAAAAGGAAAAGAAAGAGAGGGAAGGAUUAAGCAGAGAGAGAAGGAAUCCAAAUCCAAAUAUCUCCAAAUCCCAACGCGGAAACGAAUUGAAUUCAAUUGAAUUCCUUUGUUUUUUGAUAAUUGAAAUUGAAAAACCAGAACAAAGUAUUAUAUAUAUUCAUGUAUUUAUAAUACACGGGAGGCAGUUUAAAAUGCGAAGCGGUUGGUUACGCGAGUUUGUGACUUAGGACUCUAUCGCGAGCGAGCGAGCUCUCCGUCUCUUUUUUAGAUUUUGGGAGGUGAUGUUUGCAUGUGGAGGGAUACAGGUAAGAAGAUAGGGAUUUGCCGCCGGCUAAUCAGGAUAAUGACGUAAAGGAUGAAGAUGUUGAAACGUGGAAGGUGCUCAGCGGCUGAACGUGUGGUGAGGGUGUUUGACGGGCAACUGGGCGACCGCUGGA